This 253-nucleotide ribosomal RNA is filed under the name uncultured bacterium. RNAcentral describes it as "partial 16S ribosomal RNA". It matches the Rfam family "Bacterial small subunit ribosomal RNA", at positions 524 to 776 of the family's 1533-position model. The record is from RNAcentral.
UACGUAGGUGGCAAGCGUUGUCCGGAUUUAUUGGGUUUAAAGGGUGCGUAGGUGGCCUGUUAAGUCAGGGGUGAAAGACGGUAGCUCAACUAUCGCAGUGCCUUUGAUACUGAUGGGCUUGAAUACACUUGAGGUAGGCGGAAUGUGACAAGUAGCGGUGAAAUGCAUAGAUAUGUCACAGAACACCAAUUGCGAAGGCAGCUUACUAAAGUGUGAUUGACACUGAGGCACGAAAGCGUGGGGAUCAAACAGG